RNAcentral lists this ribosomal RNA (588 nucleotides) under uncultured bacterium. RNAcentral describes it as "partial 16S ribosomal RNA". It matches the Rfam family "Bacterial small subunit ribosomal RNA", at positions 355 to 939 of the family's 1533-position model. The record is from RNAcentral.
UGGGGAAUUUUGGACAAUGGGCGAAAGCCUGAUCCAGCAAUGCCGCGUGUGUGAAGAAGGCCUUCGGGUUGUAAAGCACUUUUGUCCGGAAAGAAAUGGCUCUGGUUAAUACCUGGGGUCGAUGACGGUACCGGAAGAAUAAGGACCGGCUAACUACGUGCCAGCAGCCGCGGUAAUACGUAGGGUCCAAGCGUUAAUCGGAAUUACUGGGCGUAAAGCGUGCGCAGGCGGUUGUGCAAGACCGAUGUGAAAUCCCCGAGCUUAACUUGGGAAUUGCAUUGGUGACUGCACGGCUAGAGUGUGUCAGAGGGGGGUAGAAUUCCACGUGUAGCAGUGAAAUGCGUAGAGAUGUGGAGGAAUACCGAUGGCGAAGGCAGCCCCCUGGGAUAACACUGACGCUCAUGCACGAAAGCGUGGGGAGCAAACAGGAUUAGAUACCCUGGUAGUCCACGCCCUAAACGAUGUCAACUAGCUGUUGGGGCCUUCGGGCCUUGGUAGCGCAGCUAACGCGUGAAGUUGACCGCCUGGGGAGUACGGUCGCAAGAUUAAAAGCUCAAAUGAAUUGACGGGGUCAUAGCUGUUUCCGUG